Molecule: ribosomal RNA, 1352 nt
Filed under: uncultured bacterium
Lineage: Bacteria
Description: bacterial SSU rRNA
Rfam family: Bacterial small subunit ribosomal RNA
Source: RNAcentral
AUUGAACGCUGUCGGCAUGCCUUACACAUGCAAGUCGAACGGUAACGGGUCCUUCGGGAUGCCGACGAGUGGCGAACGGGUGAGUAAUAUAUCGGAACGUGCCCAGUAGUGGGGGAUAACUGCUCGAAAGAGCAGCUAAUACCGCAUACGACCUGAGGGUGAAAGGGGGGGAUCGCAAGACCUCUCGCUAUUGGAGCGGCCGAUAUCAGAUUAGCUAGUUGGUGGGGUAAAGGCCUACCAAGGCAACGAUCUGUAGUUGGUCUGAGAGGACGACCAGCCACACUGGGACUGAGACACGGCCCAGACUCCUACGGGAGGCAGCAGUGGGGAAUUUUGGACAAUGGGCGCAAGCCUGAUCCAGCAAUGCCGCGUGCAGGAAGAAGGCCUUCGGGUUGUAAACUGCUUUUGUCAGGGAAGAAAUCUUCUGGGCUAAUACCCCGGGAGGAUGACGGUACCUGAAGAAUAAGCACCGGCUAACUACGUGCCAGCAGCCGCGGUAAUACGUAGGGUGCGAGCGUUAAUCGGAAUUACUGGGCGUAAAGCGUGCGCAGGCGGCUUUGCAAGACAGAUGUGAAAUCCCCGGGCUCAACCUGGGAACUGCAUUUGUGACUGCAAGGCUAGAGUACGGCAGAGGGGGAUGGAAUUCCGCGUGUAGCAGUGAAAUGCGUAGAUAUGCGGAGGAACACCAAUGGCGAAGGCAAUCCCCUGGGCCUGUACUGACGCUCAUGCACGAAAGCGUGGGGAGCAAACAGGAUUAGAUACCCUGGUAGUCCACGCCCUAAACGAUGUCAACUGGUUGUUGGACGGCUUGCUGUUCAGUAACGAAGCUAACGCGUGAAGUUGACCGCCUGGGGAGUACGGCCGCAAGGUUGAAACUCAGAGGAAUUGACGGGGACCCGCACAAGCGGUGGAUGAUGUGGUUUAAUUCGAUGCAACGCGAAAAACCUUACCUACCCUUGACAUGUCAAGAAUUCUGCAGAGAUGUGGAAGUGCUCGAAAGAGAACUUGAACACAGGUGCUGCAUGGCCGUCGUCAGCUCGUGUCGUGAGAUGUUGGGUUAAGUCCCGCAACGAGCGCAACCCUUGUCAUUAGUUGCUACGCAAGAGCACUCUAAUGAGACUGCCGGUGACAAACCGGAGGAAGGUGGGGAUGACGUCAGGUCCUCAUGGCCCUUAUGGGUAGGGCUACACACGUCAUACAAUGGCCGGUACAGAGGGCUGCCAACCCGCGAGGGGGAGCCAAUCCCAGAAAACCGGUCGUAGUCCGGAUCGUAGUCUGCAACUCGACUGCGUGAAGUCGGAAUCGCUAGUAAUCGCGGAUCAGCUUGCCGCGGUGAAUACGUUCCCGGGUCU